Aedes albopictus (Asian tiger mosquito) is the source of this 408-nucleotide long non-coding RNA. RefSeq lists it as uncharacterized. Lineage: Eukaryota; Metazoa; Arthropoda; Insecta; Diptera; Culicidae. The transcript has 2 exons. The record is from RefSeq and is a predicted model, not a curated record.
UGCAGGUGUAAUCAGUUUAAGUGCAAGUAAUAGAAACUAUUAGGAAUACCUUCAUUUUACAUUAUGAAUAGAAUACAUUCGAAGUGUAGGAGCAUAAAAAGCAAAAACUCUGCACACACGACAUUUCAAAACAAACUUGAACAUGAAAAACAAAAUGGGGUGCGCAAGAGGCGAGCAUUUUCGUUCAAUUAAUUGGCGAAUUAUUAGAUAUUGGAAGAGUUGUACAUAUGGAAUCAGUCAUUUAUGAUGGUCCACUGCGAGCUCAAAUAUGACGAGCGACGAGCUGGUUAACAAGCAUCCGGAUCCUGGCUGCAAUAGCAGCUGGGAUGAGUUAUGUUACCGGAUAACAGCAGAAAAGGAACCAAACUUAUCUACAGUGCCUACCUACAGCUCUACCAGAUGAUAUAA